UACAGAGGUCUCAAGCGUUGUUCGGAUUCAUUGGGCGUAAAGGGUGCGUAGGCGGCGCGGUAAGUCGGGUGUGAAAUCUUGGAGCUUAACUCCGAAACUGCAUUCGAUACUGCCGUGCUUGAGGACUGGAGAGGAGACUGGAAUUUACGGUGUAGCGGUGAAAUGCGUAGAGAUCGGCAGGAACACCCAGGGGGAAACCAGCCGACUGGGCAGCUGCUGACGCUGAGGUGCGAGAGCGUGGGGAGCGAACCGG
RNAcentral lists this ribosomal RNA (253 nucleotides) under uncultured bacterium. Its description in RNAcentral is "partial 16S ribosomal RNA". It matches the Rfam family "Bacterial small subunit ribosomal RNA", at positions 524 to 776 of the family's 1533-position model. The record is from RNAcentral.